GCCACUUUAGCUCAGUUGGUAGAGCAACGCAUUCGUAAUGCGUAGGUCGACGGUUCGAGUCCGUCAUGUGGCU
This 73-nucleotide transfer RNA is filed under the name Lentimicrobiaceae bacterium. RNAcentral's name for it is "tRNA-Thr". It matches the Rfam family "tRNA". Rfam says of the family: Transfer RNA (tRNA) molecules are approximately 80 nucleotides in length. Their secondary structure includes four short double-helical elements and three loops (D, anti-codon, and T loops). Lineage: Bacteria; Pseudomonadati; Bacteroidota; Bacteroidia; Bacteroidales; Lentimicrobiaceae. The record is from RNAcentral. RNAcentral also lists the same sequence under 1 other name.